GUUUCAGAGGGAACUGAGCCCCUCUGACACCUUGGUUUUGGACUUUUAGCCUCUGAAACUGUGAGACAAAAAAAUUCUGUUGUUUUGAGCCACCCAGAUUGUGGUACUUGGUAACAGCAGCCCUAGAAAACCAAACAAUACCUUAGGAAACUCUUUUAAGAAUGUUUCAUAAUCUUAAUUUGUAAAAAAAUAAUAAUUAUUUUGGAGAAUUAAAGAAUCAUAAAAUGGAAAAGAAUAAAAUAAUCUUGGACCAAUACUGUUCAUGAGUCCAGAAUUCUGUGAUAGACAAAGAAAAAAGGUAAGAACAUAUGGAUUUUUCAGUCAUAUGUAGCUGGCUUCAAAUUCUUGCCAAGUCACCUAAUAGCUGUGUGAACUUAAGUUAAAACAUGUUAAGAAUUUCCCGCUUUGGUGCAAUGGGAUUGGCGGCAUUGUGGGAGCACUGGAACACAGGUUCGAUCCCCAGCCCAGAACCAUGGGUUAAGGAUCUGGCCUUACCACAGCUGCAGCUUAAGUAGCAACCUUGGCUCAGAUCUGAUCUCUGGCCCAGGAACUCCAUGUGCCUCAGGGUGGACAAAAAAGGAAAAAAAAAAAAAAAAAAGUGCUAAAAUUAAAAAAUAAAUAAAAAUAAAUAAAUUUGGGAGGGAGUUCUCUGGUGGCCUAGUGGUUAGGACUCAGUGCUUUAACAGCCAAGGCUGGGGUUCAGUCCCCGGUCUGAGAAGUGAGAUCCCACAUCCAAAUGCUGCAUGCAGCAGACAAAAUUUAAAAUAUAGAUAAAUAAAACAUGCUUAGUUUCCUCAUUUUAAAAAUAGAAUCAGGAGUUCCCACCGUGGUGCAGUGCUUUAAGAAUCCAACUGCAGUGGCUCGGGUAGCAGCUACAGCUUGGAUUCAAUUCCUGGCCCAGGAACUUCUGUAUAUCAUGGCUGUGACCAUUAAAAAGGUGGGGGGAGUUCCCCUCGUUGCUAAGCAGUUAAUGAAUCUGACUAGCAUCCAUGAGGACACAGGUUCGAUCCCUGGCUUGCUCAUGGGUUAAGUAUCUGGGGCUGCCAUGAGCUGUGGUGUAGGUCACAGACAUGGCUCAGAUCCCACGUUGCUGUGGCUGUGAUGUAAGCCAGCAACUAGAGCUCUAAUUCAACCCCUAGCCCGGGAACCUCCAUAUGCUGUGGGUGCAGUCCUAAAAAGACAAAAAAAAAAAAAAAAAAAAAAAA
This 1205-nucleotide long non-coding RNA is filed under the name Sus scrofa (pig). Its description in RNAcentral is "lncRNA (ENSSSCG00060069095.1)". The record is from RNAcentral. Lineage: Eukaryota; Metazoa; Chordata; Mammalia; Artiodactyla; Suidae.